RNAcentral lists this long non-coding RNA (595 nucleotides) under Gallus gallus (chicken). RNAcentral describes it as "lncRNA (ENSGALG00010026859.1)". Lineage: Eukaryota; Metazoa; Chordata; Aves; Galliformes; Phasianidae. The record is from RNAcentral.
GAGAUUUUUGCUGGAGAUUCCUGCAUGCCUGAAGUCUCUAAUGAUUCUUUAACAAUGUAAAGGAGGUAUCUUUCAUCUGAUUCCUAAGUGAAUAAGAAACUUGAAGGAAACAGGAGGGUAGCAACAAGGCAUCUUCUUGAAUCUCUCAUUUUCCUGAACAAGUGCAAUGAUGAGAGAUCUUGUUGGACACAGAAGAGAAGAGAGACAAUAUUUGUCUGGAGAGAGGCAACCUGGCACAACUGGUGGCUGUUGAAGAAAAAAACUAUGGAUUAUGGAACAAUACUUCAUCUGUGAUUUGAUAUUUUCUGUUCUGCCUAUUGCCUUAGCUGAAUUUUGCCAUGCUUUUCCUGAGUCUGUGGGACUCGGAAGGAGCAUGGAAUGGUUGAUUCACCUGCUGAGCAGAGGUGAUGCUCUAGAGCCAAGGUGUGCUGCUGAGAUAAAAUCAAACACUUGUAGAAUGGCAGAUUGCCUGCUGCUCUGGUCCAGCAGGGAUUUCCUGCAUAGGAUGUAAGAGGAACUGAGGAACUGAAUCCUGAGUGUGGUAAUGGAGGUCCUAGAAAAGGGGGUGAUGAUGGCAGAUGGCAGUUUUUUUUAG